CAGCCGCCGCGGUAAGACGUAGGGGGCGAGCGUUGUCCGGAAUUACUGGGCGUAAAGGGCGUGUAGGCGGCCUUUCAAGUCGGCUGUGAAAUUCCUUGGCUUAACUGAGGGUGUGCAGUCGAAACUGAUGGGCUUGAGUGCAGGAGAGGGUGGUGGAAUUCCCGGUGUAGCGGUGACAUGCGUAGAUAUCGGGAGGAACACCGGUGGCGAAGGCGGCCUCCUGGUCUGUUACUGACGCUGAGGCGCGAAAGCCGGGGGAGCAAACAGGAUUAGAUACCCUGGUAGUCCCGGCCGUAAACUCUGGGUACUAGGUGUAGGGGGCUUCGAUGCCUUCUGUGCCGUAGUUAACGCAUUAAGUACCCCGCCUGGGGAGUACGAUCGCAAGGUUGAAACUCAAAGGAAUUGACGGGGGCCCGCACAAGCGGUGGAGCAUGUGGUUUAAUUCGAUGCAACGCGAAGAACCUUACCAGGGCUUGACAUCUACCUGAAGGCUUGUGGAAACGCAGGUUGUCUUUCGGGACAGGUAGACAGGUGGUGCAUGGCC
Molecule: ribosomal RNA, 544 nt
Filed under: uncultured archaeon
Lineage: Archaea
Description: bacterial SSU rRNA
Rfam family: Bacterial small subunit ribosomal RNA
Source: RNAcentral